AGUGAACGCUGGCGGUAGGCCUAACACAUGCAAGUCGAACGGCAGCACAGUAAGAGCUUGCUCUUACGGGUGGCGAGUGGCGGACGGGUGAGGAAUACAUCGGAAUCUACUUUUUCGUGGGGGAUAACGUAGGGAAACUUACGCUAAUACCGCAUAAGACCUACGGGUGAAAGCAGGGGAUCUUCGGACCUUGCGAGAUCGAAUGAGCCGAUGUCGGAUUAGCUAGUUGGCGGGGUAAAGGCCCACCAAGGCGACGAUCCGUAGCUGGUCUGAGAGGAUGACCAGCCACACUGGAACGGAGACACGGUCCAGACUCCUACGGGAGGCAGCAGUGGGGAAUAUUGGACAAUGGGCGCAAGCCUGAUCCAGCCAUACCGCGUGGGUGAAGAAGGCCUUCGGGUUGUAAAGCCCUUUUGUUGGGAAAGAAAAGCAGCAGGUUAAUACCCCGCUGUUCUGACGGUACCCAAAGAAUAAGCACCGGCUAACUUCGUG
RNAcentral lists this ribosomal RNA (492 nucleotides) under uncultured bacterium. Its description in RNAcentral is "partial 16S ribosomal RNA". It matches the Rfam family "Bacterial small subunit ribosomal RNA", at positions 29 to 507 of the family's 1533-position model. The record is from RNAcentral.